RNAcentral lists this long non-coding RNA (678 nucleotides) under Equus caballus (horse). Its description in RNAcentral is "lncRNA (ENSECAG00000059546.1)". Lineage: Eukaryota; Metazoa; Chordata; Mammalia; Perissodactyla; Equidae. The record is from RNAcentral.
CGCACAGAUGGCAGGGACCCUCCCUGAGCUCGACGAUCAGGGAGCUGAGCCCAGAGACAGCAAACUCAGUGAGCAUCAGGGAUGUGAUAAAUGUCCCAGGAGCCCACAGGCCACCCUUCUUGGUGUCUGCAGAGGGGUCUGAUCUUGCCACUGCCCUCCAAGAGCUCCAUGAAGGCCGUGCUCUGAGACCAAGAAGAUGCGGCACGCCACAGCCUGCCCAGCAGUCUUCCUGGAGAGAAGAGUUGGCUCCACUUAAUGGCCUGGCCCCAAGCGCUCUCACAGACACCCGCCAGGCCAGGGCUCUGGUGUCCAUGUGAACAUCUGCCGCCCCCGUAAAGCUGCAGCAGUUGCCUGUCACCAAGACGUCACUCCGUAAAUCUGCACGACAACUCGAGCAUUGAAACUGGGGUGCUUCCAGUUCAGGAAACUUCUCGAGCCCCAACCCAAGGCCGCACAUCGAAGGUACUCAUCAGAUGUUUGUUAAUCAAAGAAUGACAAGGUGAAGGCAUAAGUGAGUGAAACGAAUUUUUCUCGACUUUAUGGUGAAACACGUGGGUGCACACUUGUCAGAUUUAAGGUGAUGUAGAAAUGAACUAAUGAAAGACCAUCCCUCUGGCCAUCACUGCUAGAGAGAUCAGUGCUCUCAGUGGCACCCAGCGCCCCUGAAGCUGGCCAGCG